This 1472-nucleotide long non-coding RNA is filed under the name Marmota monax (woodchuck). Lineage: Eukaryota; Metazoa; Chordata; Mammalia; Rodentia; Sciuridae. The record is from RNAcentral.
CCUGCCAUGUGAGCCUGAGCCCCUCUCCCCGCGGCUGGCUGGGGUGGCGGUACCUACAGUGGGGAUCUGAGUGGGCGGUGGCAGCCCAGGAAGGACACAUGGGGUGAUCUCACAGGCAGAGCCUAGGCCUGCGCCCCUCGGCCUGGCGGAGCGAGUCACAGGGUGCACAGGGUGUGGCCCUGGGCCUUCUCUUCCGGGGUGGGCCUGUAUUGCCACCCCCGCCUGUCCUCAGCAGAGAGAAGGGGAGCUUGAAAGUCACCAGGAAGGCGAGUUGGCAGCCCCAUCGCUGCUGUGGCUCCUGCCUGCUCUCCAAGGUGACUCCAGAGGCCCUGACCCCUGAGCAGAAGGCCUCAAAGGGCCUUGGUGUCUCUCCAGGGGCCUGGGCGUGUCCUUGCAUCCUGUGCCUGCCCGGCUGUGUCUCUGCAGAUUCUCGGAGCCUCAGGCUUAGCAGGGCUCCCGACAAGCUCAGCAGCCCUGGGUGACCAGGGUCCUCCGUGACAAGCUCAGCAGCCCUGGGUGACCAGGGUCCUCCGUGACAAGCUCAGCAGCCCUGGGUGACCAGGGUCCUCCCGACAAGCUCAGCAGCCCUGGGUGACCAGGGUCCUCUGUGACAAGCUCAGCAGCCCUGGGUGACCAGGGUCCUCCCGACAAGCUCAGCAGCCCUGGGUGACCAGGGUCCUCCCGACAAGCUCAGCAGCCCUGGGUGACCAGGGUCCUCCGUGACAAGCUCAGCAGCCCUGGGUGACCAGGGUCCUCAGUGACACGCUCAGUAGCCUUCAGAUGCCCUUGAGGUGAAUGGGGGCAGCUCUGGAGCAGUGGGAAAUGGUGGCUCGAGUCUGGGAGGCAGAGCGGCCCCUGCCCUCUGCCCGGGUCCCUGGUCAUGCAGAACACAGCAGCACCUUGGGCCUGGGCGUGGGCACAGCUGCUGGGGGCCAGGCAGACCCUUCCCUGUGAACAGGCGGACCCCAAACGAGGCCAGCAGCUGGAGGAGUUGGGAAGAGGGAAGAAGAGGCUGGGAAGCAGGAGGGGUGGGCGGCGAGGCCGGGAGGACCUGAGGUGGGGUCCGACCCCCGAGCUGUGCAGCCUUCCGAGUCCUGGAGAAGUCUCUAGGGCCCCUAUUUGGGGCCCUGGGGGUGACUGGAGAGCCUGGGCAAUACCCCCACCCCACAGACCCUGGGAGUGGGGUACUGAGGCCCAGAACAGCAGCCAGUGGGCCAGAUAGGCAGGAACUCGGGGUGCCAGCUCCCCGUCACUGCACAGCGAGUGCAGGGCUGUGGCGGGCAGGGGUGUGGGUGGGCAGCAGAGGGGCCCAAGCCCCACACCAGCACCAGGACAGCCUCUGUGUCAGAGGCAGGGGGUGAGGUGGUCUUAGGGGAGGAGGGCUGCUGCCCAGAGAGAGGACGGGUAGGUGUGGGUGAGCGUGUGUGGCCGUGGGCUCAUGGGUGUGCAUGAGUGUACGAGGGACCUUGGGG